This 738-nucleotide long non-coding RNA is filed under the name Portunus trituberculatus (swimming crab). Its description in RNAcentral is "uncharacterized LOC123507854, transcript variant X3". Lineage: Eukaryota; Metazoa; Arthropoda; Malacostraca; Decapoda; Portunidae. The record is from RNAcentral.
CGAUUCCAGAAGCCGCAGCGGCCAGAAUGAGUGAGGACGCGCGUGGGGCACCCGGCAUAGGGUUGUUUUUUGUUGCUAUUGUGGUGACUACAAGACUAAGGAACAUGACGUGGCGGAGAGGAGAGACGAGAAAGAGUCAUGUCAGUGAGGAAGAAGACGGAGUGGCUCGAGUAAAUGAAAGAGAGAGCGGAGCAGAGGAACGCACCACACGGGAACUAUUUUUUUCAACGAGGCUCGCGGAAGAAUACCAGGACGGAGCAUGACGUCAUCAAGGAGAGGAGUGGUGACUGGUGAGGGUGGUUCCUGACUCUCCCUGGGACGUGGCGGGGAGUUUCCCUUUGUCUUCUGGGUUGUGGUGGUGGUGGUCGUGGUCGUGCGGGACUGUCCAGGAGCGGAUGAGACGUCCAGAAUGGUUCCUACAGGACGAAAGAGAAGCUAUUUCGGCGCUUCGAGACCUGAAUAGGAGCAUCUCGGCCCCACGGCGACAACACCUGUCUUCCUUCCGCCCCCCCACGACCCCCUGGCACCUUUUCCAGGCCGCCAGGUUAAGGGGAAGCUGGCCAAGUCGUCUCCUUUUGCUGUCUCUUGUACGCAGUACCUCGGAUGCCUUGUACUGACUGCCACGUACUGUUUCUGGUUCUUGUAUGUAGUAGUACUAGUAAUAGUAGUGGUUUCUCCAUUUUUAUCUGCAUAUAGUCUUGCCAUACUGUUCUGAAGAUAGUCGUUUGCUAAAAAAGA